Molecule: transfer RNA, 66 nt
Filed under: Apanteles gelechiidivoris
Lineage: Eukaryota; Metazoa; Arthropoda; Insecta; Hymenoptera; Braconidae
Description: tRNA-His
Source: RNAcentral
AUUUAAAUAGUUUAAUAUAAAACUUUGAUUUGUGGAAUCAAUAAUAUAAAUUUUUUAUUUUAAAUU